AGAACGAACGCUGGCGGCAGGCUUAACACAUGCAAGUCGAACGCCCCGCAAGGGGAGUGGCAGACGGGUGAGUAACGCGUGGGAAUCUACCCAGAACUUCGGAACAACUGAGGGAAACUUCAGCUAAUACCGGAUACGCCCUACGGGGGAAAGAUUUAUCGGUUCUGGAUGAGCCCGCGUUGGAUUAGCUAGUUGGUGAGGUAAUGGCUCACCAAGGCGACGAUCCAUAGCUGGUCUGAGAGGAUGAUCAGCCACACUGGGACUGAGACACGGCCCAGACUCCUACGGGAGGCAGCAGUGGGGAAUAUUGGACAAUGGGCGAAAGCCUGAUCCCAGCCAUGCCGCGUGAGUGAUGAAGGCCUUAGGGUUGUAAAGCUCUUUCAGUAGGGAAGAUAAUGACGGUACCUACAGAAGAAGCCCCGGCUAACUUCGUGCCAGCCGCCGC
This 445-nucleotide ribosomal RNA is filed under the name uncultured bacterium. RNAcentral describes it as "bacterial SSU rRNA". It matches the Rfam family "Bacterial small subunit ribosomal RNA", at positions 26 to 518 of the family's 1533-position model. The record is from RNAcentral.